UGAGGAUGAGAUUCGUUAAUAGACCAUAUUGCCAAGCCUAUAGCAUGGUGCCACGUGGUCAGUGAAGUAAACACCCCCGUAUGCCGACCCGACUUGACUUGCCAUGACAGGUCACUACCUCAAAAGCAAAACCUACCUACCGGAUCAGAUAACUGGCCUUGCCAAACCAAGGUCGGUUGGAUGGCAUCUGCUCGCGAUUAGAACCACCCGAGCCGUAUACUUGGGCAGAGUUUCCCAAGAUCCCCCUUAAUCCAACACGAGGAGCAAAUCAAGCUGACUAGAGAAUCUAGGGAAGAUCGCUUCUCUAGACAAGUUAAACCACGUGGGUGUCAAGACAAGAUUGAAA
RNAcentral lists this long non-coding RNA (346 nucleotides) under Prunus persica (peach). RNAcentral's name for it is "long non-coding RNA (PPER_LNC000296)". Lineage: Eukaryota; Viridiplantae; Streptophyta; Magnoliopsida; Rosales; Rosaceae. The record is from RNAcentral.